GGGCGACCCACUGAAUGUCAAUGAUUCCUAUGGGAUCCCCAUCUUCCUACACUCCCUUCACGUGUCCCGGCGCCCUCUCCCCUCCCACUACCCCUAUAUUCUUACACCUGCGUCCUAUAUCCGGGUCCCCUAAUCUGUACCCUUUUCUGCACACCAGGUCGGUGCACCUCCAUUCUCUGAACCACCUUUCUCUCUGCUCCCCUCCCUUUUCUGUCUCCCCUCUUCACCCUCUGCUUUUCCACCCCGUCUUUCCUCAGCUGGGCAGGCUUAGGUGGGGGACAAAACCAGGUGCUUCUGGUUCCAGAGGAGCACCCGGAUGUGUAGAAGAGUUGAUUAAAGUGACGGAAAAAUUUUUACAGAGUAGAACUUAGAGAGCAGUUGCUCUGAGCUGAAUAAACAUUGGCCUAGAGGCGGCUCUGUGCCGGAACGUUUACAUACUUUAUUUAAUCCACGUUGCUACUGGGGCUGGACAAAACAGUGACAGAACAGAGAAUAUUAGUCCUGAUUACACCCGGAAAACCGAGGCUAACAGAUUUCACUGUAGUUAUGUGGAUUCAUAUUCAAUAACACAUCAACAAAUAUUUAUUGAGUACCCACUGUUGGUACUCCCAACCACUAACACAUUUAUUGAACACAUACUGAGUGCUAGAUACUGUGCUAUAGCACUUUAUGUAUUUUGAUCUUCACAACAACCCCAAAAGGUGGUAUUAUCCCCAUUUUCCUGUUGAGGAAACAGACUCAGAGAGCCAAGCGGCUUCUCAAGGUCACAAAGCUAUCAUAAAUAGCAGAGCCAGGACUAGAACUAUAAUUGCUGGCCCCAACCCUCUCCACUCUCUACAUGUACCAGAUUAUCUAAACCCCACACUGCUUCAGCAAUCCCAGGGAGACCUGGGCCUAGUCUGACUGCCCCAAACUUGCUGUGUGACUUCAAGCAAAUUAUGUCACCUCUAUGGGCUUUGAUAUCCUUAUCUGUCAAAUUUAAUAUAUCCAAGCUUCCUUCUAGAGAUUCUUUCAGACUCUCCUCAGGAUUCUGUCAUUCCCAUGUUCUUGACCCAGGCAGUCCCAUGACCUAGGAAAUGCCUGAGGAGAGACCACAAACACACAUCCUCAGAAUCUCCAGGGCCAGGGGUGCAGGGUCGUCUCUCAGUAGAGCGGGCUGGUGGGGGUGAGUCUGAGAGCUGCCCAUUUGGCCCAACAGGAGGCAGGGGUAAGCUAGGCCGGAGCUUCAGGCUCUGCUGAUAAAACCCUGUCCCAACCUAGUCUGAAACCCCAGAGGGAUUCCUCAGCCCUAGCAACUAGCAGGAGGAGCCAGGAAAUAAUACCCAGAGGCUUGGGAAUGGGGCUGGUAGGGAGAAGAUAUCAGCAAAAUACUGCCAAAACAGCCCUUGUAGUGGUGUCCCCAAAAUAUUCUGUGCAACCCUGAGCCUUUGCUCAUCACAUCAGCUUCUAAUCUCAUACUCUCUUUUGGCCUCCUUGCUGACUUAAAUAAUUAUAACACACCUCUUCUGUCACACCAUUUGCCUGUUCUAAAACCUUCUGUGGCUCCCAAAGUACCACAUUCCAAAAGUUCAUGACCUUCCAGCUCCAGCUCUCCAACUGCGUCCUCCCUUCUCCUACGUGCACUUUGUGCUAAGGGCAAACUCCUCAGUAUGUCUUCAGUACUCUCCCACAGCCACGCUUUUGCUCAGGCUCUUUCCCCUGCCUGGAAUGCCCUUUUUAGGCAUUUCUGAAUUCAUAUCCUUCCUGUCUUCAAGGUUCUACUUACUCCUUUUUCCUCUAGGUAGCCUUCCCUGUCCUCACCUAUGUGUCCAGAGCCAUCUUGAUGGGCAGUCAUUUAUUUGUUUAAUAGACAAGCAGACACUCCCAUGUUGGCCCUGAAGGAGCAAACUGCUGUGUUGUGGAGAGAGCCACAUGGCAAGGACCCAAGAGGGGUCUCUAGAAGCUGACGCUGGUCACCAGUUAACAGAUAACAAGAUGGGAAUCUCAGCUAUAUGGCUACAAGAAAAUUACUUCUGCCAACAACCUGAGGGACCCUGGAAGCCAGACUUCCCCUACUUGAUCUCCAGGUUAACAUUCACAUGACUCAAAAUCCCAGAGAACAAGAGGAUAUUUCCACCCCAGCACCAUCCAAUCAACUUCACUCCUCAGGGGUGACUGCUGUUACCAGCUUAUUGUGUGAAUUGUCAGAAAUACUCUCUGAAUAUACAAGAAUAUAAAGUGUCAGUUUUUUGGUGUGUGGAACAAGGAUCACAAGAGCUGGCUUGUUCUUCUUGUCUAUGCAAGUAAAAAAGUGCUUAAAUUGAAAAGUGGCUCCAAUCCUGAGAAGGAAGAAUAAAGCUGAGGGGAUUGUGCUCCCCAACUUCAAGCUCUACUACAAAGCCACAGUAAUCAAGACAAUUUGGUACUGGCACAAGAACAGACCCAUAGACCAAUGGAACAGAAUAGAGACCCCAGAUAUAAAACCCAGCAUAUAUGGUCAAUUAAUAUACGAUAAAGGAGCCAUGGAUAUACAACGGGGAAAUGACAGCCUCUUCAACAGCUGGUGUUGGCAAAACUGGACAGCUACAUGCAAGAGAAUGAAACUGGAUUACUGUCUAACUCCAUACACAAAAGUAAAUUUGAAAUGGAUCAAAGACCUGAAUGUAAGUCAUGAAACCAUAAAACUCUUAGAAGAAAACACUAGGCAAAAAUCUCUGGAAUAUAAACAUAAGCAACUUUUUCCUGAACGCAUCUCCUUGGGCAAGGGAAACAAAAGAAAAAGUGAACACAUGGGACUACAUCAAGCUAAAAACCUUCUGUACAGCAAAGGACACCAUCAACAGAACAAAAAGGCAUCCUACAAUAUGGGAGAAUAUAUUUGUAAACGACAUAUCUGACAAGAGGUUAACAUCCAAAAUUUAUAAAGAGCUCACACACCUCAACACCCAAAAAGCAAAUAACCCAAUUAACAAAUGGGCAGAGGAUAUGAACAGAUACUUCUCCAAAGAAGAAAUUCAGAUGGCCAACAGGCACAUGAAAAGAUGCUCCACAUUGCUAAUUGUCAGGGAAAUGCAAAUUAAAACCACAAUGAAAUAUCACCUCACACCAGUUAGGAUGGCCAACAUUGAAAAGACAAGGAGCAACUAAUGCUGGCGAGGAUGUGGAGAAAGGGGAACCCUCCUACAAGGCUGGUGGGAAUGUAAAUUAGUUCAACCAUUGUGGAAAGCAAUAUGGAGGUUUCUCAAAAAACUCAAAAUAGAAAUACCAUUUGACCCAGGAAUUCCACUCCUAGAAAUUUACCCUAAGAAUGCAGGAGUCCAGUUUGAAAAAGACAUAUGCACCCCUAUGUUUAUCGCAGCACUAUUUACAAUAGCAAAGAUAUGGAAGCAACCUAAGUGUCUAUCAGUAGGUGAAUGGAUAAAGAAGAAGUGGUACAUAUAUUCAAUGGAAUAUUAUUCAGCCAUAAGAAGAAAACAAAUCCUACCAUUUGCAACAACAUGGAUGGAGCUAGAGGGUAUUAUGCCCAGUGAAAUAAGCCAGGAGGAGAAAGACAAGUGCCAAAUGAUUUCCCUCAUUUGUGGAGUAUAACAAUGAAGCAAAACUGAAGGAACAAAACAGCAGCAGACUCACAGAGUCCAAGAAGGGACUAGUGGUUACCAAAGAAGAGGGGUGGAGGAGGGUGGAUGGGGAGGGAGUGGGAAGGGGAUUGAGGGGUAUUAUGAUUAGUACACAUGGUGUUGGGGGUGUCACAGGGAAGACAGUGUAGCACAGAGAAGACAAGUAGUGACUCUGUGGCAUCUUACUACACUGAUGGAUAGUGACUACAAUGGGGUGUGGGGGGUACUUGAUAAUAUGGGUGAAUGUAGUAACUACAAUGUUUUUCAUGUGAAGGCUUCAUAAGUGUGUAUAUCAAUGAUACCUUAAUAAAAAAAAAAAGAAAAGUGGUUCAUUGUAUCUUCACCAAAAGAAGUACUCAGGCCUUCGCGUUUCCUUGUCUUGCCUUAUACUUACCAGAUCCUAGGCCUCUUUCAAGCUCAAAUCCACCAGAAAGAAAAAGACCCAUUUCCCCGUAACUCAAUUUAAAAUUCCAAAAUUGAGUCUUGUUAAUUCUGACUAACCUGAUGGGUCACAUGCUCAUCUCUGAAUGAAUCACUGUGUUUAGGGGUUUGGAAUGUGUCAGUUAGCUUAAGCCAUUUAGGGCCCAUCCCUGGGAAUGGGGUUGAGGUCUAUCCCACUUCAAGCACAUGGCCGAGAAUUCAGGGUCCUAUUAGGAAAGGGGAAAGGUGGAGCAGAUGCCAGGAAGAAACAAGCAAAGCCCACUUGUAUCUGUCUCCUUUCCCAGAGCCAGGAAAUCUGGUGUAUUUGGUGGAGGGCAUGAAGGGUCUGGAUGCACAGUUGUGGAGGGUGUGGUUCCUGAGGAGGGAGAGGGGUUCAAAGAGGAGGCUGGGGGAGGGAGAGUCAACCUUCAGCCUUCAGGUUGAUGGCCUAGUUUACAUCUUGGUCUUGUUUUCCUAACAGGAUGGCUUUUGCAAUGGUGGGCAUUUGUGGGUAGGGGACAGGAAGGAUAUUGAGAGAGCUGGAGGCACAGGAUCUCGGAAACCUCUCCUCAGGGCAUUAUGUAACGCCAGAGCUCUGGUUCCUUUUGGGCUCCUACAGUAUGUUAACUUUAAAAUUAGAACAGUUAUCUUACCAGCAAAACCAGGUUUAUUUGGGAGUGGUAGAGAAUUACAAUCCAGGACACACAAGCCACAGCAGAACCAAAGGCAUCACUGGAAAAAGAAGGAAAGGAACACUAUUUUAUAGAGGAAGGGCUGAGUUACGAGAGCUGUUUCUAAGCAAAAAGACCAUUGGAGUAAACUGGGAGAUCCAUGUAUUAUGGCUGCUUAUUGGCUGAGUUGUGACAGUCUCUCAUUGGCUGGGGUAUUGUAAGAAGGCAGAAGGUGGAAGCCACUUUCUUCCUGACUGAGUGGUAAAGUAGCUAAAACAGUGUGGCUGUUACUCAGAUCUUCUGAUGGGAUCUGAGAUAUAUGAGGAGUGGUGGGCAUGAGAACUUGUCCUGCAGGUUUCCCAUCACCAUGUCAGGGAGGUUUCCCUUAAUUUUCAUAGAUAUUUGAGUCCAAGAUUGAGGAGGGAGCUGGUUGUGGGUCUUCCAGUGGGUCUUACUAGACACCCAGCCCAGGAACAAGAGGCAGUUAGUGUAUGAGACAGAUGGUGAGAACCCUGGUUUCUGGACCCAGGGCCACCCCUGACUUGCUGUUUCUCUCUGGGUCUUAAUUCCCAAUCUGUACAGUGAACUAGAUUAGGCCUUUCCUAGUUUUUCAAUCUUAAAAUAACUGUGGGUAAAAUUGUAAUAUUUCCAGAAUAUCUCACCCGACUUUAGUGCAUCUGCAAUAUCAACAGGCAUUCCUCAGGGGUGGAGAAUUCAUCUCCAUAUCAAUGGGUAAUUACCUGGGCAACCGAGGGCUUAUCUGAACCUGAGAAGUUAGGGGGAGGUCUAGCUUGAUUCUGCGGGAGCAGGAAAGAGAAACGGUGCUGGACCGCACUUUGUAAGCAAUAAAUGGGUUUUCAACUUUAUUUCUCUCUUUGACUGAUUUUGGUUUUAGAGGUAUUUUGCCCUGGGAUUUCCUCUCCCUGGAGUUACAAUAAACUUUAACUAUUUUCCCUACAUGCCACUCACCCCCAUUUGUUGAGUUGUUAUUGUUUGUUUUCAAGUUUUUAUAUAGUUUAUUGUCUCCUGGUGAAAAAUCUUCACAUUCAAACAAAGAUCAAGCCAAUGCUGUAUCUUUAAUCCUUUUUAGCUUUUUCCACUCGUUUCUUCUGUGUCUUACUGAUUUUCUUGAGUUCUUUCCUUCUCAUCCAGGCCAUAUUUUGCAAAUUCAUGUAUGGUUGAUUUCUCUUUGUACAAUCCAAGGAACUGUAAAUUUUAUCAGUCUACUGUUUUGCCAUGAGCAAAGUGGGUUCAAAUCUGAGGACAAGGAUCACUGGCAUGUUCUCAUACAUUUUGGUGUGUUUUCCUGGAAUUUCUGGCUUAGUUAGUUUCCUUCCCAGGGUAAAGGACCUUUCUGACCAUUUGUUUCUGUAGAAAACAGUACCUCAUGAAUUUCUUUGCCUGGAUGGUUACUUGUGCCAUUCAUAAUGGUGGCUAGUCAUCAGGCAGCCAGGGGCAGUAAAAAAGCCCUUAGUUAUGUUUAAAGAUUUUGUAUACUUGUCAAUUUGAGCUUGUUGCUCUGAGUUUAUCUCAAAUUUUUAUUAAUGACUCUUGAAUAGCAUGAUGCAAGGCCAUUCAAAACUGGUUGGAGUUCCCUCAUUCCAAUAGUUGCACCUGGUUGACCUGACAGGUGGUUCCUGCUAUCCAGGUCCUGUUUUGUUGCCUACCUGAGUCCUGACUACUCUAAGUAUGGUUUUCCAGUCUUCUCUUUAGCCCUGUAAGCUGCCUCAUAGCCUUUAUGUUAAAGAUGGCCAGAAUCAGUUUGCUCCUUGGAAAAAAAGAAAUGUAGUAGACAAAACAUAUCUCCACAGCCUAGCAUAGGACCUGGCAAUGGUAGAUAAUCAAUAAAUGCUAAAGGAAAAACUGCAGGUAUGUGGCUUAAAGCUGGUUACUUAAUAUCUCAGAGCCUCAAUUUCUUCCUUCUAGGUAACCCACAUAUCAUCUGGGAUCUCUGGUUUGUCAGGAGAAAAAUCACUUUACUUGCUCCUUUAUCAUCUUCCUCCUUUCAGUUCUUUACCCUCUGUUUCAGCUACACCAAAACAACCCAACCCAACUCAACCAAUCCAACCUAGAUUCCUCUUAUUUUCCCAGGCAAAGCAGCUUAACCACAAUGCCUGAACCUAACAUUCCAAUCCUGGUUGUGCCAUUUACUAGCUGUGUGAUCUUGGACACAUCACUAAAUCUCUUUGUGCCUCAGUUUCCUCAUGUGCAUCUGGAAAUAGAGAAAUUAUAGGACCUGUAAUAGUGUUUCAGGAAAUCCAGUCUGGGGAGCUCUCCCUGCCAGCUAGGUGAGACCUCCACCCCUCAAGAGGGUUCUUGACUCUGAUCCAGAAAGAUUCAUGAGCAGGUCAGGCAGGUACAAGCAAAGAGUAGUUUAAUAAAGCAAAAGGACACACUCAAGGAAGGAGUGUAGGCAUGCUUGAGAGGUUAGUAAAGCAAAGUACUCAAGGAGGGAGUGUGGGCAUGCUCCAGAGAUGAGCGGCAUGGUGGGUUUUGGGUUGGGUGGUCUUACAGAUAGGUGGGGUUUUCUCAGAAUAGGGAGGGGAUUUGGGGGAAAUAGGGUUUUGCCCUCUUUUUGUCCUGUAGUCUGCUUCAGAACUGUCAUGGCACCAAGGGGUGUGAUUUUUAGUAUGCUAAUGAGUAUAUAUUGUAUUUUGAGUUGAAGUCAGGGUCAGUCUCUCCUCUAUGUUGGAUCCAUUCAGUUUUGGCAGGUCUGUUUUCUAUACCCUCACUCUCCACAACCCAAGAGAACAGUUUACAUGCAAUGUUUAGAAUAUCAACAAGAAUCUAACCAAAUGUAAAUACCAGCCAGAGUUCCAGUCCCCUCCCUGCUCUUGUCUGGCUAUCUAUCUACAUAAUAAUAUAUGUAUAUAUUAGAUGGAUAAGAUAUGUAAAACACUUAAAAUAAUACUUAGCACAUUGUAAACACUCAAUACUUGCUAGCUAUUAUUACUAUUUUCAUCUUUUUAUUACAUAAGUGUGGGUAAAAUUGUAAUAUUUCCAGAAUAUCUUGCCUGGCUUUAGUGCAUUUGUAUAUCCUCAGAGGUGGAGAGUUCAUCUCCAUGUCAAUGGGUAAUUAUCUGGGCAACUGAGGGCAUGUCUGAACCUGAGAGUUUAAGGGGAGGGGAUGGCUUGCUUGCUGGUUGACCUCUUACGGAGCAGAGGAGAGAGAUGGCCCUGGACUGCACCUUGUAAGCAAUAAACGGGUUUUAAACUUUAUUUCUCCCUUUGACUGAUUUCGGUUUUUAGAGGUAUUUUGCCUGGGAUUUCCUUUCCCCGGACUUAACAAUAAGCUACUGGAUACCUAUGCCUUUAGGGUAAUGCUUUUCAAAGUAUGGCUCCUGAACCACCGGCAUCAGAAUAAACUGGAGAGGUUAAGAACACAGGCUUCUGGGCUCCAACCCAGACCUAGAGAAUCACAGUCUCUAAGACAGAGCUAGGAAAUUUGCCUUGAAAAAAUACAUCUCCCAAGUGACGCUGAUGCUCAUUUAAAAAUAUACAUAUUGAGACAUAAUUCACAUACCAUAAAACUAACCAUUUAGAGUGUAUAGUUCAGUGUUUUUUGAAAUACUCAUGGAGUUGUACAACCAUCA
This is a long non-coding RNA of Manis pentadactyla (Chinese pangolin), 8280 nucleotides long. RefSeq lists it as uncharacterized. The record is from RefSeq and is a predicted model, not a curated record. The transcript is spliced from 4 exons. Lineage: Eukaryota; Metazoa; Chordata; Mammalia; Pholidota; Manidae.